RNAcentral lists this Y RNA (103 nucleotides) under Vulpes vulpes (red fox). Its description in RNAcentral is "Y RNA (ENSVVUG00000016357.1)". It matches the Rfam family "Y RNA". Rfam says of the family: Y RNAs are components of the Ro ribonucleoprotein particle (Ro RNP), in association with Ro60 and La proteins. The Y RNAs and Ro60 and La proteins are well conserved, but the function of the Ro RNP is not known. Lineage: Eukaryota; Metazoa; Chordata; Mammalia; Carnivora; Canidae. The record is from Rfam by way of RNAcentral.
GGCUGGCCUGAGCGCAGUGGUUUUUUUCAAUUAAUUGAUCACAUCCAGUUACAGAUUUCUUUGCUCCUUCUCCACUCCCACUGUUUCGCUUGACUAGCCUAAA